This 680-nucleotide long non-coding RNA is filed under the name Mus spicilegus (steppe mouse). RNAcentral describes it as "lncRNA (ENSMSIG00000004710.1)". The record is from RNAcentral. Lineage: Eukaryota; Metazoa; Chordata; Mammalia; Rodentia; Muridae.
AUGAAAAGAUGUUUGCUUAGUUUAUACCUUUGGAGGGUACAAGGUCAGGAUCGAGUGGCCUCCUCUCUUUGGCACCUCAGAGCCUGGCAGAGAGGGACAUGGCAAAGAACACACCCAAGGCAAAGAUGGUUCUUGCUGAUAUCUCUCUCACUGCAGUAUGAGGCUUCACAACCGGCAGUUGCAUAGACUGAGGACAUGGAAGCUCCAAGGUAUGGUUUUUGAGAAGAAGGUUUUUAUUGUAGAUAUGAAGGACAGUACAGCCAGAGGAGUGUGGAAGGGUUCAGAGCUCAGAGAGAAAGUAAGAGACUAAACAUGGCCAGCAGACUGGAUCAGGCUAGGAGAGGGGGUGGGAGACAGAGAGAGAGAGAGAGAGAGAGAGAGUGAGAGAGAACAAAGCAGACUAAGAGGCAUAGGAAAGGAGAUGGAGAGGGGAAGACAGUGUAAGAGGAAGACCAUGAGCUGGAGUUUAAGGUAAGGUGGGGUGAGAAAGGCUAAGAACCAUGGGUACUGAGAAAGGCUGGAGGCCCUCUGAUGCUUUGAUAUGCUAAUAGAUACUAGGUGUCCCUUCUGAAUGAGAUAGGAAAUGGUUCCUUUAGUUGAGGGAAACAGCCACAGAAUUUGGGUGAGUGGCAUUUCCUUGUUUCCUUCAGUUCUGACAGAGGUUGAGUGGUUUGGAAUGG